CAAUAGCGUAUAUUAAAGUUGUUGCGGUUAAAAAGCUCGUAGUUGGAUUUCUGCUGAGAACGACCGGUCCGCCCUUUGGGUGUGUAUCUGGCUCUUUCUUGGCAUCUUCUUGGUGAACGUUGCUGCACUUGACUGUGUGGAGCGCUACCCAGGACUUUUACUUUGAGGAAAUUAGGGUGUUUCAAGCAGGCAUACGCCUUGAAUACAUUAGCAUGGAAUAAUAAGAUAGGACCUCGGUUCUAUUUUGUUGGUUUCUAGAGCUGAGGUAAUGAUUAAUAGGGAUAGUUGGGGGCAUUCGUAUUUAACUGUCAGAGGUGAAAUUCUUGGAUUUGUUAAAGACGGACUACUGCGAAAACAUUUGCCAAGGAUGUUUUCAUUGA
This 380-nucleotide ribosomal RNA is filed under the name uncultured eukaryote. Its description in RNAcentral is "partial 18S ribosomal RNA". It matches the Rfam family "Eukaryotic small subunit ribosomal RNA", at positions 592 to 976 of the family's 1831-position model. The record is from RNAcentral.